CAUUGGUGGCCUAUCAGAAGCUGC
This 24-nucleotide non-coding RNA is filed under the name Arabidopsis thaliana (thale cress). Lineage: Eukaryota; Viridiplantae; Streptophyta; Magnoliopsida; Brassicales; Brassicaceae. The record is from RNAcentral.